UGGGGAAUAUUGGACAAUGGACCGAGAGUCUGAUCCAGCAAUUCUGUGUGCACGAUGAAGUUUUUCGGAAUGUAAAGUGCUUUCAGUUGGGAAGAAAAAAAUGACGGUACCAACAGAAGAAGUGACGGCUAAAUACGUGCCAGCAGCCGCGGUAAUACGUAUGUCACAAGCGUUAUCCGGAUUUAUUGGGCGUAAAGCGCGUCUAGGUGGUUAUGUAAGUCUGAUGUGAAAAUGCAGGGCUCAACUCUGUAUUGCGUUGGAAACUGUAUAACUAGAGUACUGGAGAGGUAAGCGGAACUACAAGUGUAGAGGUGAAAUUCGUAGAUAUUUGUAGGAAUGUCGAUGGGGAAGCCAGCUUACUGGACAGAUACUGACGCUAAAGCGCGAAAGCGUGGGUAACAAACAGG
RNAcentral lists this ribosomal RNA (407 nucleotides) under bacterium. RNAcentral's name for it is "partial 16S ribosomal RNA". It matches the Rfam family "Bacterial small subunit ribosomal RNA", at positions 355 to 776 of the family's 1533-position model. The record is from RNAcentral.